UCUAAGCGGGAAGCCCACCUCAAGAUUAGAUUUCCCUAGGGGUUUAACCCCUCUGAAGGUCCGUCGAAGACUACGACGUUGAUAGGUUGGGUGUGUAAGUGCAGUAAUGCAUUGAGCUUACCAAUACUAAUUGACCGUGAGGCUUGACCAUAUAAUAG
This 158-nucleotide ribosomal RNA is filed under the name Ignatzschineria cameli. Its description in RNAcentral is "partial 23S ribosomal RNA". It matches the Rfam family "Bacterial large subunit ribosomal RNA", at positions 2780 to 2925 of the family's 2925-position model. The record is from RNAcentral. Lineage: Bacteria; Pseudomonadati; Pseudomonadota; Gammaproteobacteria; Cardiobacteriales; Ignatzschineriaceae.